Apus apus (common swift) is the source of this 1797-nucleotide long non-coding RNA. RefSeq lists it as uncharacterized. The transcript has 3 exons. The record is from RefSeq and is a predicted model, not a curated record. NCBI's taxonomy places the organism in Eukaryota, Metazoa, Chordata, Aves, Apodiformes, Apodidae.
GCGCCUCCGCCCGCCCCGCCGGGCCCUGCCUGGUCCUGCCGGGCCCCCGGGCCUGGCCGGGCCCCCUCCUGCGGCUCUGCCCCGCGCCCCGUCCCGGGCCGCCGCCGCCGCGCAGGCAGCCGGUGCCCCCCUCGCCUGAGGGAAGCCGCCCCCUGCGCUGAGAGGCCGCUGCGCUGCCCCAGCAGGAGCUGCGGCUCGAUCGGUCAAAGAGUCAAAUCAGCCGAAAAAAAAGAAGCUUAGGUUGUACUUCCCACUCUUUGUCCAGCCUACCAAACCCAGGUUUUCCAUGAGAGAAGUGAGAAUGCACAGAUGCUGUGGAACUGAGACAAAUAAAAAUACUUCAUGCAUGGAUGGGAAGACUGUCAUCUAGAAAUACUAAGCCGUGACAGAUUGCCAGAACUUUUCUUGAGAGGACUUCCUGAUGGAGUUUUGCUAAAGAGGCCCCAUAAAAGAAGCAGCAGCAGCAGCAAAUGGAGUGACCCUACAGGUGCAAGCUGCAGUUGCCUCUCCAGUCUUCCCAAUAAGAUUUGUUGAAACUCUCUGUUUCACAACGUCUUUAUUGGUAAUGGAUCCCUCCCUUAAUUUGCACUGAUGCAUUUGGAAUGUCAGCUUCCAAAACAAGGCACAUGGGAGGCAUUUAAAGUAGAUUUUUUGAAAGGGAAAUGAACAAAGAGCAUGUCAAGUUCAAUUUUGAUUUGCAUGACAAAUCCAGCAUGCAGUGUUCUAGUGGGUCGGGCUGGGCUUGCCUGCCACUCACUGCAUUUGUCACUUGGGUCUGAGCACUUUUGACAGUCCGUUAUGUUAAUUGCUCUAAGGAUUGUUUUGCCAGGGGAAGAAAAGGAAAGGCAUUUUUUAUUUUUGGUUUGUUGGGUUUUUUCCCAUUGACAGGAAAGAGGAGAUAUCUGAGGAGCAGAAAAUGUUUUCAAUCUGUUUGUGAUCUGUUUUAUUUGUAAAUAAUCUUACGGGGUCAUCAGCAAGUUCAGUAUUUUAAAUCUUAUUGUAACUCACUGCGUGUUUUUUGAGUGGGAAAUACUAGGCCCCUAAAGUAGAAACUUGGGGAGUCUAUUGUUUUGGUGCACUCCAUUCUUUCUUCGAGUCCCACAGUGAUGGGUCCUGCAGAGUGGUUUGUGCUGUGCCUGUGUGCUUCUAUUGGAUGAUAUUGUGGUGCUUUGACAAGUGCUAACAAGGGAUUUAAUGCUUUAAGAGGCAUUGUUGGACACACAUUGUUACUGGUAUGUGGAUGGUAUGUGAGUAACUCCCACAUGUGUCAAAGACCUGGUGGUAGAUACGUGCUUAUGACUGAAUUCUCCUGGAGGCACACUUCAGGGUGGAGGUUGCUGUUGCCUCUUAGGGAACACACACUUCUCUAUCAUCUAUGUUAAAACAGUCAUGGAUUGCUUGGUGGUGGGUUUUGAGUUUCAAAGGUCAUAACUGAACUGCAGGUGUCAGAACACUGUAGAUUGAUCACAAACAAUGUUUUCAGACUGAUAGAAUGGUCAACCAAAAAGUUUCAGGAGAAGACUGUUUUUGUUGGUGUCGCUCUUUCACAGUUACUGUUUUUCAGCCAAAAGAGCUUAGUGUUGAAAGAAUGAGGAAAGUAAGGAGACAGAAUUUCCCAGAGGUUUCCAGGUAAUGGCUGACAUCUGCCUUUUAAUCUUUUAAUUCCUACACUGCACGUGGUGUUCUCAUUUACAUGUUGUGAUCUAGGUGCACCAUGACAGAUAAGCUCUAGAUACAAAAUGCUUUGUAGCAUAAAACAAUGCAGAAAUAUCAAAAUAAAUGAAGCUAAACAAUGAA